GAUGAACGCUGGCGGCGUGCCUAAUACAUGCAAGUCGAGCGAACAGAUGAGGAGCUUGCUCCUCUGACGUUAGCGGCGGACGGGUGAGUAACACGUGGAUAACCUACCUAUAAGACUGGGAUAACUUCGGGAAACCGGAGCUAAUACCGGAUAAUAUAUUGAACCGCAUGGUUCAAUAGUGAAAGACGGUUUUGCUGUCACUUAUAGAUGGAUACGCGCCGCAUUAGCUAGUUGGUAAGGUAACGGCUUACCAAGGCGACGAUGCGUAGCCGACCUGAGAGGGUGAUCGGCCACACUGGAACUGAGACACGGUCCAGACUCCUACGGGAGGCAGCAGUAGGGAAUCUUCCGCAAUGGGCGAAAGCCUGACGGAGCAACGCCGCGUGAGUGAUGAAGGUCUUCGGAUCGUAAAACUCUGUUAUUAGGGAAGAACAAAUGUGUAAGUAACUAUGCACGUCUUGACGGUACCUAAUCAGAAAGCCACGGCUAACUACGUG
This 497-nucleotide ribosomal RNA is filed under the name uncultured bacterium. RNAcentral describes it as "partial 16S ribosomal RNA". It matches the Rfam family "Bacterial small subunit ribosomal RNA", at positions 28 to 507 of the family's 1533-position model. The record is from RNAcentral.